AGCAGCCGCGGUAAUUCCAGCUCCAAUAGCGUAUAUUAAAGUUGUUGCAGUUAAAAAGCUCGUAGUUGAAUUUCGGGAUCAAGUCGUCGGUCGUGCCUCGGUACGCACUGGUGACAUUGGUUUCUCCCUUCUGAAGAACCUUGAUGUCAUUAAUUUGGUGUCUUGGGGAAUCAGGACUGUUACUUUGAAAAAAUUAGAGUGUUUAAAGCAGGCUCACGCUUGAAUACAUUAGCAUGGAAUAAUGAAAUAGGACGUUUGAUUCUAUUUUGUUGGUUUCUAGGAUCGACGUAAUGAUUAAUAGGGAUAGUUGGGGGCAUUAGUAUUCAAUUGUCAGAGGUGAAAUUCUUGGAUUUAUUGAAGACUAACUACUGCGAAAGCAUUUGCCAAGGAUGUUUUCAUUAAUCAAGAACGAAAGUUAGGGGAUCGAAGACGAUCAGAUACCGUCGUAGUCUUAACCAUAAACUAUGCCGACUAGGGAUCGGAUGAUGUUAAUUUUUAAUGUACUCAUUCGGCGCCUUAA
Molecule: ribosomal RNA, 520 nt
Filed under: uncultured Glomeromycotina
Lineage: Eukaryota; Fungi; Glomeromycota
Description: SSU rRNA
Rfam family: Eukaryotic small subunit ribosomal RNA
Source: RNAcentral